GUGCUCACUUUUGCGGCACGUGUGCUAAAGUUGGAAUGAUACAGAGAAAAUUAGCAUGGCCCCUGUGUAAGGAUGACAUGUAAAUUCGUAGGCUGCUUUCCUAUGUU
This is a small nuclear RNA of Ochotona princeps (American pika), 107 nucleotides long. The record is from Ensembl. NCBI's taxonomy places the organism in Eukaryota, Metazoa, Chordata, Mammalia, Lagomorpha, Ochotonidae.